AAAGACGCUGGCGCUUCUGCUUCCCCUCCCCGCUCGGGAGCCCCCUAACGGCACAGGAAGCCCAGAAGGGGGCUGCCCGGUCCGCGGAGACCGACGGAGGAGAGGCUGGGAGCCUUCCCCUGGCCCGCGCUGGCGUUAGAGGCAAACCCCGCGUUUUUAGCGCCUUUGCAAAUGUUUCCGUUUGAUGGAUAACCAGCCGCUGGGACUGCGCCUGGGAGCUGCGCAGGAGAGAAAGAACUUUCAAGAACCAGCAAAGUAAACAUGUCAAAACUCCAAAUUCUAAAGAGCUAGCCCAUCUGGGCAGAGCAACAAGAUUACAAUCAAGAAUGAUGCAGAGAAGGGCAACUGUCCUGGUGUAAUGAGCUGCUAAGCCUGAAAAAUGAAGAUCUAUGCUGGAAAGCCUGGCAGACCCUAAAAUGCAGCAUUGCAAGGCAU
Dermochelys coriacea (leatherback sea turtle) is the source of this 435-nucleotide long non-coding RNA. RefSeq lists it as uncharacterized. Lineage: Eukaryota; Metazoa; Chordata; Testudines; Dermochelyidae. The transcript has 3 exons. The record is from RefSeq and is a predicted model, not a curated record.